This 250-nucleotide ribosomal RNA is filed under the name uncultured bacterium. RNAcentral describes it as "partial 16S ribosomal RNA". It matches the Rfam family "Bacterial small subunit ribosomal RNA", at positions 1252 to 1500 of the family's 1533-position model. The record is from RNAcentral.
AGAUCGUGAGAUGGAGCAAAUCCCAAAAAUAAACGUCCCAGUUCGGACUGUAGUCUGCAACCCGACUACACGAAGCUGGAAUCGCUAGUAAUCGCGGAUCAGAAUGCCGCGGUGAAUACGUUCCCGGGUCUUGUACACACCGCCCGUCACACCAUGGGAGUCAGUAACGCCCGAAGUCAGUGACCUAACCGAAAGGGAGGAGCUGCCGAAGGCGGGACGGAUGACUGGGGUGAAGUCGUAACAAGGUAUC